GUGAAUCAUCAAAUUUUUGAACGCAAAUCGCACUCUCUGCGGAGAGUAUGCCUGUUUGAGGGUCAGCCUAAAAAAAAUCAACGUAGUAGCUGUUUCUCUGUUACAUUCGUAGGAAUUUGGGGCAUCUUAAACCGUUGGGUUUUUUAAGCGGCUUAAUAUUUUCUUUACGAUUACACGAACUUUUAUAAUAUUUUAAUUUCUACACACUUUUAC
Molecule: unclassified non-coding RNA, 213 nt
Filed under: Glomus sp.
Lineage: Eukaryota; Fungi; Glomeromycota; Glomeromycetes; Glomerales; Glomeraceae
Description: partial contains 5.8S ribosomal RNA and internal transcribed spacer 2
Rfam family: 5.8S ribosomal RNA (bases 1-65)
Source: RNAcentral